AGACCCGAAACCCGGUGAUCUAGCCAUGGGCAGGUUGAAGGUUGGGUAACACUAACUGGAGGACCGAACCGACUAAUGUUGAAAAAUUAGCGGAUGACCUGUGGCUGGGGGUGAAAGGCCAAUCAAACCGGGAGAUAGCUGGUUCUCCCCGAAAGCUAUUUAGGUAGCGCCUCGUGAAUUCAUCUCCGGGGGUAGAGCACUGUUUCGGCUAGGGGGCCAUCCCGGCUUACCAACCCGAUGCAAACUGCGAAUACCGGAGAAUGUUAUCACGGGAGACACACGGCGGGUGCUAACGUCCGUCGUGAAGAGGGAAACAACCCAGACCGCCAGCUAAGGUCCCAAAGUCAUGGUUAAGUGGGAAACGAUGUGGGAAGGCCCAGACAGCCAGGAUGUUGGCUUAGAAGCAGCCAUCAUUUAAAGAAAGCGUAAUAGCUCACUGGUCGAGUCGGCCUGCGCGGAAGAUGUAACGGGGCUAAACCAUGCACCGAAGCUGCGGCAGCGACACUGUGUGUUGUUGGGUAGGGGAGCGUUCUGUAAGCCUGUGAAGGUGGCCUGUGAGGGUUGCUGGAGGUAUCAGAAGUGCGAAUGCUGACAUAAGUAACGAUAAAGCGGGUGAAAAGCCCGCUCGCCGGAAGACCAAGGGUUCCUGUCCAACGUUAAUCGGGGCAGGGUGAGUCGACCCCUAAGGCGAGGCCGAAAGGCGUAGUCGAUGGGAAACAGGUUAAUAUUCCUGUACUUGGUGUUACUGCGAAGGGGGGACGGAGAAGGCUAUGUUGGCCGGGCGACGGUUGUCCCGGUUUAAGCGUGUAGGCUGGUUUUCCAGGCAAAUCCG
This 832-nucleotide ribosomal RNA is filed under the name Salmonella enterica. RNAcentral describes it as "partial 23S ribosomal RNA". It matches the Rfam family "Bacterial large subunit ribosomal RNA", at positions 711 to 1544 of the family's 2925-position model. Lineage: Bacteria; Pseudomonadati; Pseudomonadota; Gammaproteobacteria; Enterobacterales; Enterobacteriaceae. The record is from RNAcentral. RNAcentral also lists the same sequence under 1 other name.